AACGAACGCUGGCGGCAGGCUUAACACAUGCAAGUCGAACGCCCCGCAAGGGGAGUGGCAGACGGGUGAGUAACACGUGGGAACAUGCCCAAAGGUACGGAAUAUUCUCGGGAAACUGGGAGCAAUACCGUAUGUGCCCGAAAGGGGAAAGAUUUAUCGCCUUUGGAUUGGCCCGCGUCAGAUUAGGUAGUUGGUGGGGUAAUGGCCUACCAAGCCGACGAUCUGUAGCUGGUCUGAGAGGACGACCAGCCACACUGGGACUGAGACACGGCCCAGACUCCUACGGGAGGCAGCAGUGGGGAAUCUUGGACAAUGGGCGCAAGCCUGAUCCAGCCAUGCCGCGUGGAUGAUGAAGGCCCUAGGGUUGUAAAAUCCUUUCGUUGGGGACGAUAAUGACGGUACCCAAAGAAGAAGCUCCGGCUAACUUCGUGCCAGCCGCCGCCGUAA
This 447-nucleotide ribosomal RNA is filed under the name uncultured bacterium. RNAcentral describes it as "partial 16S ribosomal RNA". It matches the Rfam family "Bacterial small subunit ribosomal RNA", at positions 29 to 523 of the family's 1533-position model. The record is from RNAcentral.